RNAcentral lists this ribosomal RNA (369 nucleotides) under uncultured bacterium. Its description in RNAcentral is "bacterial SSU rRNA". It matches the Rfam family "Bacterial small subunit ribosomal RNA", at positions 28 to 396 of the family's 1533-position model. The record is from RNAcentral.
GACGAACGCUGGCGGCGUGCUUAACACAUGCAAGUCGAGCGAGGUCCUGCCUUCGGGCAGGUGUCCGAGCGGCGAACGGGUGAGUAACACGUGGGCAACCUGCCCUCAGCACUGGGGAUAACCCCGGGAAACCGGGGCUAAUACCGGAUAUGACCUCGGACGGCAUCGUCCGAGGUGGAAAGCUCCGGCGGCUGAGGAUGGGCCCGCGGCCUAUCAGCUAGUUGGUGGGGUCANGGCCUACCAAGGCGACGACGGGUAGCCGGCCUGAGAGGGCGACCGGCCACACUGGGACUGAGACACGGCCCAGACUCCUACGGGAGGCAGCAGUGGGGAAUAUUGCGCAAUGGGCGAAAGCCUGACGCAGCGACG